Molecule: long non-coding RNA, 415 nt
Organism: Acinonyx jubatus (cheetah)
Lineage: Eukaryota; Metazoa; Chordata; Mammalia; Carnivora; Felidae
Exons: 3
Source: RefSeq, a predicted model, not a curated record
CAAGGACACAUUUCAGGUGCGUCGUGCUGAGGCCUGAGCAGAUCCCGCCCCACACGCCGGGGUCCUCACUGCUGGGACCCGGGGGUUUCCUGAGCUGGACCCAGAGAGAUGCCACCGUUGAGCAGCCCAGACGAAGGACACCCCCCCGGAAGCUGGAGCAGGGGAGGAUCGGACCGUCCUCUGGAGCCUCCGGAGGGAGCGCGUCCCCACCGACACCUGGACCGCGGCCCAGGGACGCCGGGUUUGGACUCCAGGCCUCCAGAACCGGGAGAGAAGAAACUUCUGCUGUUUUCAGUGGUGCGCGAGGGGCCGUACAUCCCAGCGGCCCCAGGAGACCAACUCGGGGAGGCCUGGCCCCGGGGUCCUGCCCUGCAGAGGACAGUGACGGGCUGCAUGGGGUGGACGCUGAACCGAG